UUUGCAGCCAGAGAGAAUGAAGGUCCCAGCUAACCUGCAGAAUGUUUACAGCACAGGUGGUGGAAGUGCAAACUUCUUCACACUGCCCUGACAAUGUGCCUUAUUUCUGUUCUUAAGACACCACCCUAAGAAGUGAGAGGGGCGCUCAGUUUCCAUGUUUUUUCAUAUGUCCUGUCAAU
Molecule: small RNA, 179 nt
Filed under: Chrysemys picta bellii (western painted turtle)
Lineage: Eukaryota; Metazoa; Chordata; Testudines; Emydidae
Description: TUC338 (ENSCPBG00000021189.1)
Source: RNAcentral